GUGCUACAAAUUGCAUAAAGAUGU
RNAcentral lists this non-coding RNA (24 nucleotides) under Arabidopsis thaliana (thale cress). The record is from RNAcentral. Lineage: Eukaryota; Viridiplantae; Streptophyta; Magnoliopsida; Brassicales; Brassicaceae.